Molecule: ribosomal RNA, 483 nt
Filed under: Meligethes auripilis
Lineage: Eukaryota; Metazoa; Arthropoda; Insecta; Coleoptera; Nitidulidae
Description: partial large subunit ribosomal RNA
Rfam family: Bacterial large subunit ribosomal RNA
Source: RNAcentral
CAUGGCUUUUUGUUAUUUAUAUAAGGUUUAACCUGCCCAAUGAUGUAAUUAAAUGGCCGCGGUAUUUUGACCGUGCAAAGGUAGCAUAAUCAUUAGUUUUUUAAUUGAAAGCUGGAAUGAAAGGUUGAAUGAGAAAAUGACUGUCUUUAUUAUAUUUAAUUAAAACUUUAUCUUUAAGUUAAAAAGCUUAAAUAAUAUUUAAAGACGAGAAGACCCUUUAGAGUUUUAUAAAAAAUUAGUUUUUGGACUUUAAGAAUUAACUAUAAGAAAAUUAACUUUUAUUUAGUUGGGGCGAUUAAAAAAUUUAAAAAACUUUUUUUUUUAUUUAACAUUAAUUUAUGAAUAUUUGAUCCAUAUAUUAUGAUUAUAAGAUUAAAUUACCUAAGGGAUAACAGCGUUAUUUUUUUUGAGAGUUCUUAUCGAAAAAAGAGAUUGCGACCUCGAUGUUGGAUUAAAAUUAAAUUAUGGUGUAGAAGCUAUAAC